AGGUGAUCCAACCGCAGGUUCCCCUACGGUUACCUUGUUACGACUUCACCCCAGUCAUGAAUCACAAAGUGGUAAGCGCCCUCCCGAAGGUUAAGCUACCUACUUCUUUUGCAACCCACUCCCAUGGUGUGACGGGCGGUGUGUACAAGGCCCGGGAACGUAUUCACCGUGGCAUUCUGAUCCACGAUUACUAGCGAUUCCGACUUCAUGGAGUCGAGUUGCAGACUCCAAUCCGGACUACGACGCACUUUAUGAGGUCCGCUUGCUCUCGCGAGGUCGCUUCUCUUUGUAUGCGCCAUUGUAGCACGUGUGUAGCCCUGGUCGUAAGGGCCAUGAUGACUUGACGUCAUCCCCACCUUCCUCCAGUUUAUCACUGGCAGUCUCCUUUGAGUUCCCGGCCGGACCGCUGGCAACAAAGGAUAAGGGUUGCGCUCGUUGCGGGACUUAACCCAACAUUUCACAACACGAGCUGACGACAGCCAUGCAGCACCUGUCUCACGGUUCCCGAAGGCACAUUCUCAUCUCUGAAAACUUCCGUGGAUGUCAAGACCAGGUAAGGUUCUUCGCGUUGCAUCGAAUUAAACCACAUGCUCCACCGCUUGUGCGGGCCCCCGUCAAUUCAUUUGAGUUUUAACCUUGCGGCCGUACUCCCCAGGCGGUCGACUUAACGCGUUAGCUCCGGAAGCCACGCCUCAAGGGCACAACCUCCAAGUCGACAUCGUUUACGGCGUGGACUACCAGGGUAUCUAAUCCUGUUUGCUCCCCACGCUUUCGCACCUGAGCGUCAGUCUUCGUCCAGGGGGCCGCCUUCGCCACCGGUAUUCCUCCAGAUCUCUACGCAUUUCACCGCUACACCUGGAAUUCUACCCCCCUCUACGAGACUCAAGCUUGCCAGUAUCAGAUGCAGUUCCCAGGUUGAGCCCGGGAUUUCACAUCUGACUUAACAAACCGCCUGCGUGCGCUUUACGCCAGUAAUUCCGAUUAACGCUUGCACCCUCCGUAUUACCGCGGCUGCUGGCACGGAGUUAACCGGUGCUUCUUCUGCGGGUAACGUCAAUGAGCAAAGGUAUUAACUUUACUCCCUUCCUCCCCGCUGAAAGUACUUUACAACCCGAAGGCCUUCUUCAUACACGCGGCAUGGCUGCAUCAGGCUUGCGCCCAUUGUGCAAUAUUCCCCACUGCUGCCUCCCGUAGGAGUCUGGACCGUGUCUCAGUUCCAGUGUGGCUGGUCAUCCUCUCAGACCAGCUAGGGAUCGUCGCCUAGGUGAGCCGUUACCUCACCUACUAGCUAAUCCCAUCUGGGCACAUCCGAUGGCAAGAGGCCCGAAGGUCCCCCUCUUUGGUCUUGCGACGUUAUGCGGUAUUAGCUACCGUUUCCAGUAGUUAUCCCCCUCCAUCAGGCAGUUUCCCAGACAUUACUCACCCGUCCGCCACUCGUCAGCAAAGAAGCAAGCUUCUUCCUGUUACCGUUCGACUUGCAUGUGUUAGGCCUGCCGCCAGCGUUCAAUCUGAGCCAUGAUCAAACUCU
RNAcentral lists this ribosomal RNA (1528 nucleotides) under Shigella boydii 5216-82. RNAcentral's name for it is "16S ribosomal RNA". Lineage: Bacteria; Pseudomonadati; Pseudomonadota; Gammaproteobacteria; Enterobacterales; Enterobacteriaceae. The record is from RNAcentral.